Molecule: ribosomal RNA, 864 nt
Filed under: uncultured Lentitheciaceae
Lineage: Eukaryota; Fungi; Ascomycota; Dothideomycetes; Pleosporales; Lentitheciaceae
Description: partial 28S ribosomal RNA
Source: RNAcentral
CGGCCGCGUCGACCGCGCAUCUGCUAGGAUGCUGGCGUAAUGGCUGUAAGCGGCCCGUCUUGUAACACGGACCAAGGAGUCUAACAUCUAUGCGAGUGUUUGGGUGUCAAAGCCCCGGAGCGUACGUAAGUAGUAAGUACGGAACGGGUAGGGUACCGGGACCCGACGGUAAGGGGUCGACCAACCUACGUCCCGGAACCGUACCGUUCCGUAGUAGGUUCGUUUCCGGUUAACGGGGAAGGUUUAAGUUUGGUAAAGGUAAAGGCGACUAGGUCGGUCGUUUGGGGUUACCCGGGAAACCCGGAAAGUAGGUUGGUAACGUAACUUAGUCGUCGUUAAGUAAAGGGUUAGGGUAGAACCGACGAAGGAAACGGUAACUCGGUGGGUAGGGACGGUCCGUCGACGACGGUUCCGUUCGUACGGUACGUACGAACUAACGUCGUACGUUACGGUAACUUAAGGGUUCGGGACUAAGGGGGUACGGGAAACGAAACGUAACUUAACGUACCGUAACUUACGUACGUUAAGGUCGUCGGUUCCGGUUCGUACGUACCGGUUUACCGUUCCAGGAGUAGUACGACGUUAAACGUUAACGUUACUUACGGUUUAAGUUUAGAGGGUAAAGGUAACCGAGUUAAGUAGGUUAACGGUUACGGGACCCGGGUUCGGGGUUUAAGGGGUAAACCAAAACCCUUUACCGUUACCGUAACGUUUACGUUACCGUAAAACGUUUAAAAACGUUUAAUAGGUUAAGUAAACGUACCUUUCGUUUAAGUUUAACUUAGGUACGGUACGGUACGACGUUAGGUAAGUAAGUAACCGGUUAAAGUUUGUACGGGUCGGUAACUUUUAGGGUUAGAACCG